AAGGAAUAUUGCGCAAUGGACGAAAGUCUGACGCAGCAACGCCGCGUGCAGGAUGAAGGCCCUUUGGGUUGUAAACUGCUGUAGAAAGGGAAUAAUAGUUUGCCACGGGUGAACUUGAAGGUACCUUUAAAGUAAGCGCCGGCUAACUACGUGCCAGCAGCCGCGGUAAUACGUAGGGCGCAAGCGUUGUCCGGAUUCACUGGGUGUAAAGGGUGCGCAGGCGGAUUGGCAAGUCAGAGGUGAAAUCUCACGGCUCAACCGUGAAACUGCCUUUGAUACUGCUUAUCUUGAGUUCGGGAGAGGUUGAUGGAAUUCCAGGUGUAGCGGUGAAAUGCGUAGAUAUCUGGAAGAACACCAGUGGCGAAGGCGGUCAACUGGCCCGCAACUGACGCUCAUGCACGAAAGCGUGGGGAUCAAAC
RNAcentral lists this ribosomal RNA (419 nucleotides) under uncultured bacterium. Its description in RNAcentral is "bacterial SSU rRNA". It matches the Rfam family "Bacterial small subunit ribosomal RNA", at positions 356 to 773 of the family's 1533-position model. The record is from RNAcentral.